GCUUACGGCCACACCACCCUGAGCGCGCCCGAUCUCGUCUGAUCUCGGAAGCUAAGCAGGGUCGGGCCUGGUUAGUACUUGGAUGGGACCGCCUGGGAAUACCAGGUGCCGUAAGCU
RNAcentral lists this ribosomal RNA (117 nucleotides) under Lates calcarifer (barramundi perch). Lineage: Eukaryota; Metazoa; Chordata; Actinopteri; Centropomidae. The record is from RNAcentral.